Molecule: ribosomal RNA, 440 nt
Filed under: uncultured bacterium
Lineage: Bacteria
Description: partial 16S ribosomal RNA
Rfam family: Bacterial small subunit ribosomal RNA
Source: RNAcentral
CCUACGGGAGGCUGCAGUGGGGAAUAUUGCACAAUGGGGGAAACCCUGAUGCAGCGACGCCGCGUGAGCGAAGAAGUAUUUCGGUAUGUAAAGCUCUAUCGGCAGGGAAGAAAAUGCCGGUACCUGAGUAAGAAUCCCCGGCUAAAUCCUUGCCAGCAGCCGCGGUAAUACGUAGGGAGCAAGCGUUAUCCGGAUUUACUGGGCGUAAAGGUUGCGUAGGCGGCCUUCCAAGUCCGAUGUCAAAUACCGGGGCUCAACCCCGGGGCUGCAUUGGAAACUAGCAGGCUGGAGUGCCGGAGAGGCAGGCGGAAUUCCUAGUGUAGCGGUGAAAUGCGUAGAUAUUAGGAGGAACACCAGUGGCGAAGGCGGCCUGCUGGACGGUGACUGACGCUGAGGCUCGAAAGCGUGGGGAGCAAACAGGAUUAGAUACCCCUGUAGUC